Molecule: ribosomal RNA, 494 nt
Filed under: uncultured bacterium
Lineage: Bacteria
Description: bacterial SSU rRNA
Rfam family: Bacterial small subunit ribosomal RNA
Source: RNAcentral
AAAUGAAUAGACGGGGGCCCGCACAAGCAGCGGAGCAUGUGGUUUAAUUCGAUGCAACGCGAAAAACCUUACCAGGGCUUGACAUCCUCUGAAGCUAUAAGAGAUUAUAGUGUCCCUUCGGGGCAGAGUGACAGGUGGUGCAUGGUUGUCGUCAGCUCGUGUCGUGAGAUGUUGGGUUAAGUCCCGCAACGAGCGCAACCCUUAUCCUCAGUUGCCAUCACUUCGGGUGGGCACUCUGAGGAGACUGCCGGUGACAAACCGGAGGAAGGUGGGGAUGACGUCAAAUCAUCAUGCCCCUUAUGUCCUGGGCUACACACGUGCUACAAUGGCCUGAACAACGGGCAUGCGAAGGAGCGAUCCGGAGCCAAUCCCUUAAAUCAGGUCCCAGUUCGGAUUGCAGGCUGCAACUCGCCUGCAUGAAGUAGGAGUUGCUAGUAAUCGCGGAUCAGCAUGCCGCGGUGAAUGCGUUCCCGGGCCUUGUACACACCGCCCGU